GAUGAACGCUGGCGGCGUGCCUAAUACAUGCAAGUCGAGCGAACGGAUAAGGAGCUUGCUCCUUUGAAGUUAGCGGCGGACGGGUGAGUAACACGUGGGUAACCUACCUAUAAGACUGGAAUAACUUCGGGAAACCGGAGCUAAUGCCGGAUAACAUUUGGAACUGCAUGGUUCUAAAGUAAAAGAUGGUUUUGCUAUCACUUAUAGAUGGACCCGCGCCGUAUUAGCUAGUUGGUAAGGUAAGGGCUUACCAAGGCAACGAUACGUAGCGGACCGGAGAGGGGGAUCGGCAACACUGGAACUGAGACACGGUCAAGACUCCUACGGGAGGAAGCAGUAGGGAAUCUUCCGCAAUGGACGAAAGUCUGACGGAGCAACGCCGCGUGAGUGAUGAAGGUUUCGGAUCGUAAAACUCUGUUAUUAGGGAAGAACAAAUGUGUAAGUAACUGUGCACAUCUUGACGGUACCUAAUCAGAAAGCCACGGCUAACUACGUGCCAGCCGCCGCAGUAA
This 512-nucleotide ribosomal RNA is filed under the name uncultured bacterium. RNAcentral describes it as "partial 16S ribosomal RNA". It matches the Rfam family "Bacterial small subunit ribosomal RNA", at positions 28 to 523 of the family's 1533-position model. The record is from RNAcentral.